GUUUAUGCCAAAAUUUAGUGUCAGUGGUAUCUGGAAAAGGUGGCGGGAAUCAUAUCCAUCCAAGAGUUCUAAACCUGAUGAUGCUAUAACAGUUUUUACCGGGGUUCCAACCAUGUAUGCUCGAUUGUUACAAGGUUAUGAAGCAAUGGAUUCUGAGCUACAGCUUGCUUCUGCCUCUGCUUCAAGACAGUUGCGCCUUAUGAUGUGUGGCUCUUCUGCACUCCCU
Molecule: unclassified non-coding RNA, 226 nt
Filed under: Hevea brasiliensis (rubber tree)
Lineage: Eukaryota; Viridiplantae; Streptophyta; Magnoliopsida; Malpighiales; Euphorbiaceae
Source: RNAcentral